AACGAACGCUGGCGGCGUGGAUAAGGCAUGCAAGUCGAACGGGCUUUAACGGGUGGUAACAUCUGUUAAGGCUAGUGGCGAACGGGUGAGUAACACGUGGGCAAUCUGCCUCGAAGUGGGGGAUAACAUCGGGAAACCGGUGCUAAUACCGCGUAAUAUCCAGGGAUCGCAUGUUUCCUGGAUCAAAGGUGGGGAUCUUUCGGGACCUACCGCUUUGAGAGGAGCCCGCGGUCGAUUAGCUUGUUGGUGAGGUAAUGGCUCACCAAGGCAAUGAUCGAUAGCCGACCUGAGAGGGUGACCGGCCACACUGGGACUGAGAUACGGCCCAGACUCCUACGGGGGGCAGCAGUCUAGAAGCUUCGGCAAUGGGGGAAACCCUGACCGAGCGACGCCGCGUGCAGGAUGAAGGUCUUCGGAUCGUAAACUGCUUUCGCUGGGGGAGAAAUGCCUGGAGGUGAAUAAUCUUCAGGUUAGACGGUACCCAGUAAAGAAGCCCCGGCUAAGUCCGUGCCAGCAGCCG
RNAcentral lists this ribosomal RNA (520 nucleotides) under uncultured bacterium. Its description in RNAcentral is "bacterial SSU rRNA". It matches the Rfam family "Bacterial small subunit ribosomal RNA", at positions 29 to 517 of the family's 1533-position model. The record is from RNAcentral.